GUGAGGAAUAUUGGUCAAUGGGCGCAAGCCUGAACCAGCCAUGCCGCGUGCAGGAAGACGGUCCUAUGGAUUGUAAACUGCUUUUAUUUGGGAAUAAAUUCCGGUACGUGUACCGGCCUGAAGGUACCAAAUGAAUAAGCACCGGCUAACUCCGUGCCAGCAGCCGCGGUAAUACGGAGGGUGCAAGCGUUAUCCGGAAUCAUGGGGUUUAAAGGGUCCGCAGGCGGUCUUAUAAGUCAGUGGUGAAAGCCUACAGCUCAACUGUAGAACUGCCAUUGAUACUGUAGGACUUGAAUUCGGUCGAAGUGGGCGGAAUGUGACAUGUAGCGGUGAAAUGCUUAGAUAUGUCACAGAACACCGAUAGCGAAGGCAGCUCACUAGGUCUGGAUUGACGCUCAGGGACGAAAGCGUGGGGAGCAAACAGGAUUAGAAACCCGUGUAGUCC
This 445-nucleotide ribosomal RNA is filed under the name uncultured bacterium. RNAcentral describes it as "partial 16S ribosomal RNA". It matches the Rfam family "Bacterial small subunit ribosomal RNA", at positions 354 to 796 of the family's 1533-position model. The record is from RNAcentral.